GAUGAAGAACGUAGCGAAAUGCGAUAAGUAGUGUGAAUUGCAGAAUUCAGUGAAUCAUCGAAUCUUUGAACGCACAUUGCGCCCGCCAGUAUUCUGGCGGGCAUGUCUGUUCGAGCGUCAUUUCAACCCUCAAGCACAGCUUGGUGUUGGGACUCGCGUUAAUUCGCGUUCCCCAAAUUGAUUGGCGGUCACGUCGAGCUUCCAUAGCGUAGUAGUAAAACCCUCGUUACUGGUAAUCGUCGCGGCCACGCCGUUAAACCCCAACUUCUGAAUGUUGACCUCGGAUCAGGUAGGAAUACCCGCUGAACUUAAGCAUAUCAAUAAGCGGAGGA
RNAcentral lists this unclassified non-coding RNA (332 nucleotides) under soil metagenome. Its description in RNAcentral is "partial contains 5.8S ribosomal RNA, internal transcribed spacer 2, and large subunit ribosomal RNA". The stretch from base 1 to 120 matches the Rfam family "5.8S ribosomal RNA", at positions 35 to 154 of the family's 154-position model. The record is from RNAcentral.